GCGAAACCCAAGGUGCAUGCCGAGGGGCGGUUGGCCUCGUAAAAAGCCGCAAAAAAUAGUCGCAAACGACGAAAACUACGCUUUAGCAGCUUAAUAACCUGCUUAGAGCCCUCUCUCCCUAGCCUCCGCUCUUAGGACGGGGAUCAAGAGAGGUCAAACCCAAAAGAGAUCGCGUGGAAGCCCUGCCUGGGGUUGAAGCGUUAAAACUUAAUCAGGCUAGUUUGUUAGUGGCGUGUCCGUCCGCAGCUGGCAAGCGAAUGUAAAGACUGACUAAGCAUGUAGUACCGAGGAUGUAGGAAUUUCGGACGCGGGUUCAACUCCCGCCAGCUCCACCA
Molecule: transfer-messenger RNA, 335 nt
Filed under: Escherichia coli
Lineage: Bacteria; Pseudomonadati; Pseudomonadota; Gammaproteobacteria; Enterobacterales; Enterobacteriaceae
Description: partial transfer-messenger RNA
Rfam family: transfer-messenger RNA
About the family: Bacterial tmRNA, also known as 10Sa RNA or SsrA, is named for its dual tRNA and mRNA-like properties. Its role is to liberate the mRNA from a stalled ribosome.
Source: RNAcentral